This is a long non-coding RNA of Rosa rugosa (rugosa rose), 634 nucleotides long. RefSeq lists it as uncharacterized. The transcript has 2 exons. Lineage: Eukaryota; Viridiplantae; Streptophyta; Magnoliopsida; Rosales; Rosaceae. The record is from RefSeq and is a predicted model, not a curated record.
UUUGCAUCAGAAAAUUCAUCCAGUAUUCAAAUAAUUUCUGCAUUUCAUAUUAGAGUUAAAAACAGAGAAGGUUCAAACACUACAUUGGUUCGCCGUUUCUUGCUGAUUAAAGUGCUUUCUCCGCAAGAAGAAAGAUCGUUGUAUCCUGGGAGGCAUUCGCCAUUACAAACCUUCAAGCACCAGUGAGGGGCGAUUUGUCUUAAGGCUAUAGAAUCAAAUUCUAGCCUCGAUCUGUCAAAGAGACAUGGUGCGCCAAGCUGUCGAAGACGCCAAACAGAGGGGGCAGGUGGCAGUCAGAGCUGAAGUUGAGAAAUGGCUGACCAGCGUGGACAGGCUCACCGAAGAGGUGACCAAAUUCUUCGAGUACAAAGGUGAUGCCAAUGACGGCUGGUUUCGUUGGUUGUAUGGCUUGUUGAUGUCGCGAUACCAAUUGAGCAAGAAGGCAAACAAGAUGAUAGAGCAUCUUGUUCAACUCCAAGCUGAUGGAGCCUUUCUAAUUAAUUAGUACGUUAUAGUAUGUGUUUUUUGUUUGUGACUUGUUUCUUCAGCAUGUGUUUUGUUUUAACUGAAUGGUGUUUAUGAAAUAAUUUGCGCACGGAUUGAUUGAAGAUGUGAUCAAUGACAGUGUGAAAAA